UAUAUCAUAUAUAGAUUUUGUAUUGUUAAUCAUCAAAAAAGGAUUUUGUAUUGUUAGAAAUGGCCAUCCUCCUACGUGCCUCCAAAUUGAUGUCAUUUGCUGUUCUUUUAGCAAUACUUUUACUGCUUAUGUCCUCCACGCUGGGAAGUGCUGCCCAACCACUCGGGCGAAAACUUUUCCAAUAUCCUAGUGGCAGAGGAUAUGGAUAUGCUGAAGGUGGAUCAAUAUAUAAAAAAUAUCCUGGUGGUGGAGGAUAUCGAAAAAGACCAUGAAAAUCAUUAACCACACCAAGGGGCCGGGAAAUAAUUACCAACAGAACUGCUCUGUUGCUGAAAUUAAUAUUGGAGAUGUUAAUUCAGUUAUUUCUUACGAAUGAUAAAAAAAAUUACUUUUAUAUGUCUGUGUCAGUACUAGGAUGAUAAUAUAUACGUCGUCAUGUACUUUUUUUUAUAGGUAAAAUAAUAAUAUAUUUAAGAGAA
This is a long non-coding RNA of Glycine soja, 479 nucleotides long. RefSeq lists it as uncharacterized. The transcript is spliced from 2 exons. Lineage: Eukaryota; Viridiplantae; Streptophyta; Magnoliopsida; Fabales; Fabaceae. The record is from RefSeq and is a predicted model, not a curated record.